Pelobates cultripes (western spadefoot toad) is the source of this 276-nucleotide non-coding RNA. The record is from the annotation of a GenBank genome assembly. NCBI's taxonomy places the organism in Eukaryota, Metazoa, Chordata, Amphibia, Anura, Pelobatidae.
GUUAUUUCUGUUUAAUAAGCUAUGCAUUCUCUCAUCAACCCAGACACAAUUGCCAGUCCCUGCUGAAAGGCAGCCUCUACAUAACACCAUGCUGUCACCACCAUACCUAAUAGGCAGCUUACCGGGUGAUGUGCAUUAUCAAGCUUGCACCAUAUAUAAUGCUUGGAAUUUAGACACUUUUAUCUCAUCUGACCACAAAGCUGUUCCACAUGUCUGAACCAUGUUUUGUCUUUUUUUUUUUUUUCUUCUACAAACUCAACACGUGAUAAGGAUGAG